AUCCAGAUGACGAGUCCAAAUUAGGACGAAAUGCUGGAU
Molecule: non-coding RNA, 39 nt
Filed under: Trichobilharzia regenti
Lineage: Eukaryota; Metazoa; Platyhelminthes; Trematoda; Strigeidida; Schistosomatidae
Source: RNAcentral